UACCUGGUUGAUCCUGCCAGUAGUCAUAUGCUUUUCUAAAAGAUUAAGUUAUUCAUGUGUAAGUAUGAACAAAUUCAGACUGUGAAACUACAAAUGGCUCAUUAAAUCAGUUAUAGUUUGUUUGAUGGUAUCAACUACUCAGAUAACUAUAGUAAUUCUAGAGAUAAUAUGUGCAACAAACCCUGACUUCAAAAAGGGAUGCAUUUAUUAGAUAAAAGGUUGAUGCAGGCUUUACCCAUUACUGUGAUAAUUCAUGAUAACUUAAUGGAUCGCACGACCAUUAUGCCGAUGAUGCAUCAUUCAAACUUUUUCCCUAUCAACUUUUAAUGGUAAGAUAGUGGCCUACCAUGUUGGUAACAGGUGAUGAAGAAUUAGGGUUCGAUUCCAAAGAGGGAGCCUAAAAAUGGCUACCACAUCCAAGGAAGGCAUUAGGCAUGCAAAUUACCCAAUCCUAACAUGGGGAGGUAGUGACAAUAAAUAAUAAUACUACACUCAAUGAUUCUGGUAGUUGGAAUAAGUACAAUCUAAAUCCCUUAACGAGGAUACAUUAGAGGGAAAGUCUAGUGCCAGCAACUACGGUAAUCUAGCUCCAAUAGCGUAUAUUUAAGUUGUUACAGUUUAAAAGGCCGAAGUUGGAAUUUGGGAUAAGUCGAUCGAUCCGUCUAUAGUAUGCACCAAUCGUGUCAUCCCUUCUGUCGGUGAUGUGCUCCUGGCCUUAACUGGUUUGGUUGUGCCUACGGUGCCGUUACUUUGAAGAUAUUAGAGUGUUCAAAGCAAGCCUUCGCUCUAUAUACGUUAGCAAUGGGAUAACAUUAUAGGAUUUCGAUUCUAUUACAUUGUCCUUCGAGAUCAGAGUAAUGAUUAACAGACAUGGUUAGCGGCAUUUGUAUUUCAUAGUCAGAGGUGAAAUUCUUGGAUUUAUGAUAGACAAACAACUGGGAAAGCAUUUUCCCAGGACUUUUUCAUUAAUCAAGAACAAAAAUUGGGGGCUCAAAGAUGAUCAGCUACCGUCCUAGUCUUAACCAUAAACGAUGCUGACCAGGGAUCGGUGGAUGUUGCUUUUAGGACACCACCGACACCUUAUGAGAAAUCAAAGUUUUUGGGUUUCGGAAAGAGUAUGGUCGCAAGGGUAAAACGUAAAGGAAUUAACGGAAGGGCACCUCCAGGAGUAGAGCCUGAGGCUUAAUUUGACUCAACACGGCAAAACUUACCAGGUCCAGACAUAGUAAGGAUUGACACUCUAAGAGCUCUUUCGUAAUUCUAGGGGUUGUGGUGCAUGGCCGUUCUUAGUGGACGGAGCAAUUUGUCUGGUUAAUUCCAUUAACGAAUGAGACCUUAGCCUGUUAACUAGCUAUGCAGAGGUAUCCCUUGGCAGCCAGCUUCUCAGAGGGACUACGACCUGUUAGGCUGUAGAACUUUAAGGCAAUAAUAGGUCUGUGAUGCCCAUAGAUGUUCUAGGCUGAAUGUGCGCUACAUUGAUGUAUUCAACGAGUUUAUAGCCUUGGCCGACUAGCUUGGGAAAUCAUUGAAAUUUCAUCGUGAUAAGGAUAUAUCAUUGCAAUUAUUGGUCUUCAAAGAGGAAUUCCUUGUAAGCGUACUCAUCAACUCGCAUUGACUAUGUCCUGCCCUUUUCACACACUUCCCUUUUCUCCUACCGAUUGAAUGAUAUGGUGAAAUAUUUGGAUCAUGGUGACAUGGGUGGUUCGCUGCCUGCAACGUCAUGAGAAGUCCACUGAACCUUAUCAUUUAGAGGAAGAAGAAUUCAUAACAAGAUUUUUGUAGGUGAACCUACAGGAUGAUCAUUG
Non-coding RNA from Capsicum annuum, 1805 nucleotides. The record is from Rfam. NCBI's taxonomy places the organism in Eukaryota, Viridiplantae, Streptophyta, Magnoliopsida, Solanales, Solanaceae.